ACCGUCAGUGAAGAUGUGAGGGCCAUCCCUCCCUGUCAGUGUUUAGGAGCCACACAGACUAUAGGCAGGGGGUGUGGUCCUCCCCUCUCCCAAGAGCUGACUUCUGUGAUCCUCGAUGAAACACAGACCCCACCUUUUCCCAGCCUUCUCCUGUUGCUGUAAAUAUUUAACAAGUAGUGUGACAGUUGGAUCCUAUUACCAAAGCCACUGUGACUUGGUGAAGGGAAGAAGUGCAGAAGAAAGAUUCACUGUGGGAGGAGAAUUUUCCCAGACUGUCACCUGAAAGGGUGAAGAGGGAUGUCUGAGCCCAUGAACGGGGACUAGGGUAAGUCAGUAUAUUAGGUCCACCCAGCCCUUUGUCUCCCUAAGUA
This 371-nucleotide long non-coding RNA is filed under the name Fukomys damarensis (Damara mole-rat). Its description in RNAcentral is "lncRNA (ENSFDAG00000025631.1)". The record is from RNAcentral. Lineage: Eukaryota; Metazoa; Chordata; Mammalia; Rodentia; Bathyergidae.